This 1305-nucleotide ribosomal RNA is filed under the name Triticum aestivum (bread wheat). RNAcentral describes it as "partial small subunit ribosomal RNA". The record is from RNAcentral. Lineage: Eukaryota; Viridiplantae; Streptophyta; Magnoliopsida; Poales; Poaceae.
AUGAGCAUGCUCACAUGCUGGCAAAAAUUGGUGUUAUUUCAUGCAUGGCAAGAAGCACACCAUGUUCAAAGGUGUCCAAAUUCCUUCAAAUUUUGCAUGAAGGCCAACCAUGAGCAUGGCCACACACUGACAAGUUUUGGUGUCAUUUUGUGCAUGGCAAGAAGCAUAUCAUGUUCAAAGGUGAUGGUUCGGUCAAAACAAUAUAUCUACCACGAGCUGUUCGGUUGCCCAGUUGGUGACUCUGGCGCUACAAGUCUACAACCUCUGUUCAAGCGGUCGACGACGUUCACGGAGCGGGACGACGACGACCUCGCGGAGCAGGUGACCAAGUUCGGGUACCAGCACGAGUUCGCCGACAUCGCCUGGUACCCGGGCCACGGCCGCGCGGUGUACCGCAUGGACGACAGGCUGCCGAUGAACGCCUCCGGCGACGGCGUGCUCGACUUCAUCGGCUUCCGCCCCACCUCGGCCGCGGUGAUCAAGGCCAACCGGCUGGUCGAGGAGGCGUCCGAGCGGGUGGGCAACGGCGGCAGCGGCGGCAAGUGCCUGACCGCGAGGGUGACCCACGCCGCGCUGUCGGUGGCCGGCUACGGGCUGGCGCGUCGGAGCGGCGGGCUGUUCACGGGGUACCCGGUGGUGGGGCGGCAGGACCAGAUGCAGGCGUCGGGCAGCUGCCUCACCGGGAAGGAGGACGCGCUCCAGACCGCCUGCGCCUGGGACCCGCGCGUGAGCGACUCCAGCUUCUUCCACCAGACCACCUUCAGCCUGCCGCUGAGCCGCGCGGGCGCGUUCGUCCAGGAGGUCCAGCGGCUGCGUGACCUGAACCCGAAGGCCUUCUGCGGCCUCGAGCUCUACGACGGCAUCCUCAUCCGCUACGUCAAGUCAUCCACGGCGCACCUCGGGAAGCCGGCGGCGGCCGGGGAGUCGGCGGACAUGGUGGACUUCGACAUGACCUACUACCGCAGUCGCGACCCCGGGAGGGCGGGGCUCCACGAGGACUUCCUGGAGGAGAUCGAGCAGAUGGCUACGCCCCCGGCCUUCGCCGGCGUCGCGAGCAAGUACCCCGGGAUGCGCCGGUUCCUGCGCGUCAAGAGCGCCUACGACCCCGACGGUCUCUUCUCCAGCGGCUGGAGCGACAUGAUGGUCGGCGUCGGCGGUGGUGCCGCGCCGACCAAGGACGCGCCCGGGUGCGCGCUGGAAGGGAUGUGCGUGUGCUCGCGGGACGCGCACUGCGCGCCGGAGCAGGGCUACCUGUGCCGGCCCGGCAAGGUGUACAAGGAUGCCAGGGUCUGCACCAAAGUGUAG